GAUGAACGCUGGCGGCGUGCCUAAUACAUGCAAGUCGAGCGAACAGACGAGGAGCUUGCUCCUCUGACGUUAGCGGCGGACGGGUGAGUAACACGUGGAUAACCUACCUAUAAGACUGGGAUAACUUCGGGAAACCGGAGCUAAUACCGGAUAAUAUAUUGAACCGCAUGGUUCAAUAGUGAAAGACGGUUUUGCUGUCACUUAUAGAUGGAUCCGCGCCGCAUUAGCUAGUUGGUAAGGUAACGGCUUACCAAGGCAACGAUGCGUAGCCGACCUGAGAGGGUGAUCGGCCACACUGGAACUGAGACACGGUCCAGACUCCUACGGGAGGCAGCAGUAGGGAAUCUUCCGCAAUGGGCGAAAGCCUGACGGAGCAACGCCGCGUGAGUGAUGAAGGUCUUCGGAUCGUAAUACUCUGUUAUUAGGGAAGAACAAAUGUGUAAGUAACUGUGCACGUCUUGACGGUACCUAAUCAGAAAGCCACGGCUAACUACGUG
RNAcentral lists this ribosomal RNA (497 nucleotides) under uncultured bacterium. RNAcentral's name for it is "partial 16S ribosomal RNA". It matches the Rfam family "Bacterial small subunit ribosomal RNA", at positions 28 to 507 of the family's 1533-position model. The record is from RNAcentral.